UACGUAGGUGGCAAGCGUUGUCCGGAUUUAUUGGGUUUAAAGGGUGCGUAGGUGGUCAAUUAAGUCAGUGCUGAAAUAUCCCGGCUUAACCGGGAGGGUGGCAUUGAUACUGAAUGACUUGAGUGGAGUUGAGGUAGGCGGAAUUGACGGUGUAGCGGUGAAAUGCUUAGAUAUCGUCAAGAACACCAAUAGCGAAGGCAGCUUACUAAGCUCUAACUGACACUGAUGCACGAAAGUGUGGGGAUCAAACAGG
RNAcentral lists this ribosomal RNA (253 nucleotides) under uncultured bacterium. RNAcentral describes it as "partial 16S ribosomal RNA". It matches the Rfam family "Bacterial small subunit ribosomal RNA", at positions 524 to 776 of the family's 1533-position model. The record is from RNAcentral.